GACGAACGCUGGCGGCGUGCUUAACACAUGCAAGUCGUACGGUAAGGCCCUUUCGGGGGUACACGAGUGGCGAACGGGUGAGUAACACGUGAGUAACCUGCCCACAACUUUGGGAUAACGCUAGGAAACUGGUGCUAAUACUGGAUAUGUUCUCCUGCUGCAUGGUGGGGGUUGGAAAGCUCCGGCGGUUGUGGAUGGACUCGCGGCCUAUCAGCUUGUUGGUGGGGUAGUGGCCUACCAAGGCGGCGACGGGUAGCCGGCCUGAGAGGGUGACCGGCCACAUUGGGGCUGAGAUACGGCCCAGACUCCUACGGGAGGCAGCAGUGGGGAAUAUUGCACAAUGGGCGCAAGCCUGAUGCAGCAACGCCGCGUGCGGGAUGACGGCCUUCGGGUUGUAAACCGCUUUCAGCAGGGACGAAGCUUUUUGUGACGGUACCUGCAGAAGAAGCACCGGCUAACUACGUG
This 465-nucleotide ribosomal RNA is filed under the name uncultured bacterium. RNAcentral describes it as "partial 16S ribosomal RNA". It matches the Rfam family "Bacterial small subunit ribosomal RNA", at positions 28 to 507 of the family's 1533-position model. The record is from RNAcentral.